RNAcentral lists this ribosomal RNA (254 nucleotides) under uncultured bacterium. Its description in RNAcentral is "partial 16S ribosomal RNA". It matches the Rfam family "Bacterial small subunit ribosomal RNA", at positions 107 to 354 of the family's 1533-position model. The record is from RNAcentral.
UGAGUAACACGUGAGUGACCUGCCUUUUAGACUGGAACAACUUACCGAAAGGUGAGCUAAUGCCGGACGAGUUAUAUAAGUGCAUGUUUAUAUAGGAAAAGUUGGGGAGACCUGACGCUGAAAGAUGGACUCGCGUCCCAUUAGCUAGUUGGUAGGGUAAUGGCCUACCAAGGCGACGAUGGGUAGCCGGCCUGAGAGGGUGGCCGGCCACACUGGGACUGAGACACGGCCCAGACUCCUACGGAAGGCAGCAG